GGGCCUGUAGCUCAAUUGGUUAGAGCCGGCGGCUCAUAACCGCUUGGUUGGGGGUUCAAGUCCCUCCGGGCCCA
This 74-nucleotide transfer RNA is filed under the name Plantimonas leprariae. RNAcentral describes it as "Aureimonas leprariae tRNA". It matches the Rfam family "tRNA". Rfam says of the family: Transfer RNA (tRNA) molecules are approximately 80 nucleotides in length. Their secondary structure includes four short double-helical elements and three loops (D, anti-codon, and T loops). Lineage: Bacteria; Pseudomonadati; Pseudomonadota; Alphaproteobacteria; Hyphomicrobiales; Aurantimonadaceae. The record is from Rfam by way of RNAcentral.